This 75-nucleotide transfer RNA is filed under the name Acidobacteriota bacterium. RNAcentral's name for it is "Acidobacteria bacterium (groundwater metagenome) tRNA-Met". It matches the Rfam family "tRNA". Rfam says of the family: Transfer RNA (tRNA) molecules are approximately 80 nucleotides in length. Their secondary structure includes four short double-helical elements and three loops (D, anti-codon, and T loops). RNAcentral also lists the same sequence under 1 other name. Lineage: Bacteria; Pseudomonadati; Acidobacteriota. The record is from RNAcentral.
GCCGGCGUAGCUCAGGGGUGGAGCGAGGGUCUCAUAAUCCCUAGGUCGUGGGUUCGAGUCCCACCGCCGGCACCA